RNAcentral lists this unclassified non-coding RNA (241 nucleotides) under plant metagenome. RNAcentral describes it as "partial contains small subunit ribosomal RNA, internal transcribed spacer 1, and 5.8S ribosomal RNA". The record is from RNAcentral.
AUUCCGUAGGUGAACCUGCGGAAGGAUCAUUAAAGAGUAAGGGUCUUCGGGCCCGAUCUCCAACCCUUUGUUUAACUACCAUGUUGCUUUGGCGGGCCCGUCUCACGACCGCCGGAAGUUUGGCUUCGACCAAACUUCUGGCCCGUGCCCGUCAGUGGCCCCUUCAAAUUCUUGAUCAAGUAUGAUGUCUUAGUUAAAAACUUAAUAGUUAAAACUUUCAACAACGGAUCUCUUGGUUCCG